AUGAAAGAGAAAGUAGUGGAAAAAAAUAGUAAGCAUAAAAAUUGCAAUUGCUGUCUUGCAGACGGGACCUCAUGUAAACCAGGCAGGAGAGAUAUUACCAAAAUGGAAUCAUUUUCCACUAGAACUCAUAUACUGAAACCCCAAUUAAUUUUGAAAAGUCUGUGCUCUGCCAAGUGUUCAAAUCUAUGGAAUUUGGAAUCCUGUGCCGGAAGCUGCUGUAUAGGCAUUUUCUUAUUUUUUUAAAUUUCUUUUUAAUUUUUAAUCUUAAUUUUUCACAAGAUCCAUGAACUGCCACAGUUUGUACUGUUCACUGGAUGAAUACGCAAGUCACCAGAAUUAAGUGGACUUACCAGAUAUAAGUUCAUCUGUUUCUAUACACUGCAAAAAUACUGUUUGUAACUAAAAGUUUAGCUGAAAAUACCUGUGAAUACUUGAAGAUCUGGUAUAGAUAAUUAAUAAACCAAAUUUUAAUGUUAUUUUGUUAGUCCA
This 489-nucleotide long non-coding RNA is filed under the name Cyanistes caeruleus (blue tit). RNAcentral describes it as "lncRNA (ENSCCEG00000017904.1)". The record is from RNAcentral. Lineage: Eukaryota; Metazoa; Chordata; Aves; Passeriformes; Paridae.